Molecule: ribosomal RNA, 429 nt
Filed under: Chloroflexota bacterium
Lineage: Bacteria; Bacillati; Chloroflexota
Description: Chloroflexi bacterium partial 16S ribosomal RNA
Rfam family: Bacterial small subunit ribosomal RNA
Source: RNAcentral
UGGGGAAUAUUGCACAAUGGGCGCAAGCCUGAUGCAGCCAUGCCGCGUGUGUGAAGAAGGCCUUCGGGUUGUAAAGCACUUUCAGCGGGGAGGAAGGCGGUGAGGUUAAUAACCUCAUCGAUUGACGUUACCCGCAGAAGAAGCACCGGCUAACUCCGUGCCAGCAGCCGCGGUAAUACGGAGGGUGCAAGCGUUAAUCGGAAUUACUGGGCGUAAAGCGCACGCAGGCGGUUUCUUAAGUCUGAUGUGAAAGCCCCCGGCUCAACCGGGGAGGGUCAUUGGAAACUGGGAGACUUGAGUGCAGAAGAGGAGAGUGGAAUUCCAUGUGUAGCGGUGAAAUGCGUAGAUAUAUGGAGGAACACCAGUGGCGAAGGCGGCUCUCUGGUCUGUAACUGACGCUGAGGCUCGAAAGCGUGGGGAGCAAACAGG